Amblyraja radiata (thorny skate) is the source of this 972-nucleotide long non-coding RNA. RefSeq lists it as uncharacterized. The record is from RefSeq and is a predicted model, not a curated record. NCBI's taxonomy places the organism in Eukaryota, Metazoa, Chordata, Chondrichthyes, Rajiformes, Rajidae. The transcript has 2 exons.
GUCACCCUAGAACCCAAAGACCCGGAGUGGCCCAAGGCAGAUCCGAGCGGAACUCACUGCCUGAGAAGAAAUGCGAAAUACGUGGUUAGGUAGGAUGUGAUAACGGGGCUGAGGUUAAUAUUUACAGUUGAUGCAACACUGGCCACUACAGCAAGCCCAGUGCAUCAUCCGUGACUAACAGCGACUCUGGUGGAACGGUUGUGGUUAUUCCAAUUCAUUGUUGACCAAAGACAAGACCUUUGUUCAAAUCUAAACUGCUCGCGUCUCAAUUGAAAACUGUUUCACCUUUUUAAGCUCCAGUUUCUUAUUUGCGACUACACACCCUCAGUUCGUUAAGUAAGCGAUGGAUUGUCGUUCAAAAUCGAAUGAUACCACCAUCUCGGCCAGACACAAGGUUCAUGAGCAACUCGAGUGUGUAAUAAGGAUUAGACAGAAUGCGGUCAGCAUUUGCCCGAAUGCAGCCAAGGAAUGAUCGCAAUCAAUGAAUUACUGCCGAAAAAGCGUGAAAACAAGAUCACCCCGGGGGGACACGACAACAUAAAUACUUGACUAAAAACGCUACAGUUUUGUGUUGGUGACAUUGUCUACAACUUUGUUUAAUAUGAUAUUCUCUCCCGCUUAACGGGCUGCUUGCUGUGUGAAGUAAUAUCCAGAACAAUGUCUUCAAUGCGGGUUGCAGUCCGGAACGACAACAAAUGUAUCCCCAUGUGCCAGUUAUCACGGAUGAUAUAAAAAAAUAAAGUUCUCCACAAAUUAUCCCGAACCUUCGGAGUAAAACAGAAAGUGCAGGAGCAGCGGCUUACCUGGUUUUUAAUAACGGAAAUGAACGGACACUGACAUUUGUCAUAUCCGAUAAUGAAGAUCUUAAUACAUUCAAGCAAGAACGCAGUCAGAUUGCAAUGAAACUUGGCUGUUGUCACCACCAAACAGUGCAUAUUGUAUGUAAAAUAAAUUCCGUGUUUUUAUGCUGAA